RNAcentral lists this ribosomal RNA (253 nucleotides) under uncultured bacterium. Its description in RNAcentral is "partial 16S ribosomal RNA". It matches the Rfam family "Bacterial small subunit ribosomal RNA", at positions 524 to 776 of the family's 1533-position model. The record is from RNAcentral.
UACGUAGGUGUCAAGCGUUGUCCGGAUUUAUUGGGCGUAAAGCGCCCGCAGGCGGCUUGCCAAGUUCGAUGUGAAAUCUCCCGGCUCAACUGGGAGGGUGCAUCGAAAACUGGCAGGCUUGAGGCAGGGAGAGGGAUGUGGAAUUCCAGGUGUAGUGGUGAAAUGCGUAGAUAUCAGGAGGAACGCCGGAGGCGAAAGCGAGUGACUGGCGCGUUCCUGACGCUGAGGUGCGAAAGCUAGGGGAGCAAACAGG